This is a long non-coding RNA of Salvelinus sp. IW2-2015, 346 nucleotides long. RefSeq lists it as uncharacterized. The record is from RefSeq and is a predicted model, not a curated record. Lineage: Eukaryota; Metazoa; Chordata; Actinopteri; Salmoniformes; Salmonidae.
AUGGAGAAUAGUAAGACACUUCAUUAUUUCUAUAACUACGCUAUAUUGUUUUUCCUCGUGUGUCCGUUUAUGUUUUUCAGCAUAAAGAACUCUGCAGCUACUUAGUGUGGUGUGGACACCAGGUUAUAUCAACUGUGUCGCUGAACCCCUCCUGCAUUGGAACUGGCUACAUAGAGGCCACAGCAUGAUCAGAGAUAUGUUUUGAUGUGAGAGGAUGUCAACCCGCAGGCCUAUCAUCGCCACCUCACCCACUUUUAAGAUAACCUCUGGGCUGACUAGAGACACUAUUAUGUAAUUGUGAUGAACUGAGAGAAUAUUUGGGUUGCACUGUGAUUCAUUAAUCAUA